Armigeres subalbatus is the source of this 238-nucleotide long non-coding RNA. RefSeq lists it as uncharacterized. Lineage: Eukaryota; Metazoa; Arthropoda; Insecta; Diptera; Culicidae. The record is from RefSeq and is a predicted model, not a curated record. The transcript is spliced from 3 exons.
AAUAUUUAUCUAACUUAAUUGAAACCGUUGAGCAAGUGGUUAUUGCAAAUUUGGUGACAAAAAUGUUCAGCAUAAAGAAUCAUGAUGCGCAACGGCCGAUUCCGGACAACAUCUGCUCGAACCAGAAGAAAGCGGAAGAAAGUGAAAAAAAAACUCAAAUAAAAAGACAUGCAAAGAGUGAUCAGCGUAGUGGAUUGGAUCUCAGAUAUCGGUAUUUGCAACUUCCGUUCUUGCUCUG